AUUGAACGCUGGCGGCAUGCCUUACACAUGCAAGUCGAACGGUAACAGGUCUUCGGAUGCUGACGAGUGGCGAACGGGUGAGUAAUAUAUCGGAACGUGCCCAGUCGUGGGGGAGUAACGCAGCGAAAGCUGUGCUAAUACCGCAUACGAUCUAUGGAUGAAAGCGGGGGAGUCGCAAGACCUCGCGCGAUUGGAGCGGCCGAUAUCAGAUUAGGUAGUUGGUGGGGUAAAGGCCCACCAAGCCAACGAUCUGUAGCUGGUCUGAGAGGACGACCAGCCACACUGGAACUGAGACACGGUCCAGACUCCUACGGGAGGCAGCAGUGGGGAAUUUUGGACAAUGGGCGCAAGCCUGAUCCAGCAAUGCCGCGUGCAGGAUGAAGGCCUUCGGUUGUAAACUGCUUUGUACGGAACGAAAAGGCUCUGGUUAAUACCUGGGGCGUCAUGACGGUACCGUAAGAAUAAGCACCGGCUAACUACGUGCC
RNAcentral lists this ribosomal RNA (485 nucleotides) under uncultured bacterium. RNAcentral describes it as "bacterial SSU rRNA". It matches the Rfam family "Bacterial small subunit ribosomal RNA", at positions 30 to 509 of the family's 1533-position model. The record is from RNAcentral.